This 680-nucleotide long non-coding RNA is filed under the name Equus asinus (donkey). RNAcentral's name for it is "lncRNA (ENSEASG00005031643.1)". The record is from RNAcentral. Lineage: Eukaryota; Metazoa; Chordata; Mammalia; Perissodactyla; Equidae.
UUUUCGUGCCGCCGAUUGGGGUUUGGGGUCCGGAAAUCUGCGUUGAGUCUGGAACUACCCAGCUCCAGCCUUGGUAGACGACCCGCGCACUCCUCUUGCAGCUAAUUCGGGAUCAUUAAUUUAAUCGGAAAUGAGGUAACCAGUGUAGGAGAUAGAGAAAGCAAACCAAGCAUCGAAUGGCAGUUCUCGUGAAUCCACGCUGAAGAACUUCCUCUGGACUCGAUUUUUAAGCGCGGUUGUCAACACCCCACCACCCGGCCCCCUCCGCGUGUACCACCGCCAGGUGUUAGCUUGCCGGGAAGGAAUCUUCUUUGGAGGGGUGCACCUUGCCAACAGGUGUGGCACCUGGAGGAAGAGAAGGCACAUCCAUGCUAAAGGGAGGUCGGUGCGGCGUCCUCCUUAAUGCAGAUAAUUCUGGAAGACCAGUAGGUGUCGGGGCAGCAUUUGACCUCCUUCAGGUGCUUAGAACCAAGCGUCUGCAAACGUGAUCCCUCCACGUAAGUUUCUCUCUGGAAGCCACCGCUAUUGACUGUAAGCUGUAUUUAAGAAACCUUGGCUGAGUUUACUUAUGACCUAACGGUUAGUCACCAACUGAAGCAGGAUACAGAAUCACCAAGAGAAAUGUGUCAGCUUUUAAACAACUGUAUUAUUGUCAAGCCAACGUGCUACAGAAAUAAAAA